Molecule: ribosomal RNA, 406 nt
Filed under: uncultured bacterium
Lineage: Bacteria
Description: partial 16S ribosomal RNA
Rfam family: Bacterial small subunit ribosomal RNA
Source: RNAcentral
AUUGAACGCUGGCGGCAGGCCUAACACAUGCAAGUCGAGCGAGCGGCGGACGGGUGAGUAAUGUAUGGGGAUCUGCCCGAUAGAGGGGGAUAACUACUGGAAACGGUGGAUAAUACCGCAUACUAUCGGAUGAACCCAUAUGGGAUUAGCUAGUAGGUGGGGUAAUGGCUCACGUAGGCGACGAUCCCUAGCUGGUCUGAGAGGAUGACCAGCCACACUGGGACUGAGACACGGUCCAGACUCCUAAGGGAGGAAGCAGUGGGGAAUAUUGCACAAUGGGAGCAAGCCUUAUGCAGCCAUGCCGCGUGUGUGAAGAAGGCCUUCGGGUUGGAAAGCACUUUCAGCGAGGAGGCGUUACUCGCAGAAGAAGCACCGGCUAACUCCGUGCCAGCAGCCGCGGUAAUAC